Molecule: non-coding RNA, 760 nt
Organism: Zootermopsis nevadensis
Lineage: Eukaryota; Metazoa; Arthropoda; Insecta; Blattodea; Termopsidae
Source: RefSeq, a predicted model, not a curated record
GCUGUUUUUCAGACGUUGCCGUCCCUGCGUGCGAGAAAAUGGCGCAGCUCCUCUGCUGUUAUUGUUUCCUUCGGACGGCGUGAUGGUAGGAUGUAUGCCCAGUCGAGUGCAGCUUUACUCUUAUAUUGCCAGGGCUUGCAAGUUUAUUUGAGCUGAAGUUUGUCAUCUUUCUCCUGUGUGAAGUACGUAAAGUGGGAAAUAUUUUGGUUGCACGAAAGGCCGGAUUAGUUGCCAGUAGGCGUGAAUGCAAGCAUAUGGGAUACUUCAGCCGUUAUGCAGUUUCGAAUCCAUCAUUACUACGGAGGUAGCAAGACUUUGCCCCGGUAGCUGACAUGACCAUUGUGCGUGAUGGACACAAUUCAUCAGUCGAUGCGGUUGGGAUGACCCACAGACUCGUGGUGGCAGCCUCUGUUUUUGUGACUUGCAUGUGGAAAUUCAGUAGCUGUUGAUUUAAAUUGGUGUAAGAGCCUAUCGCAGUGAACAAGGUAGAAGUAAGUAGCUAGAGUUACAGGUUGCAAUGUUGGUUAUGUGGCCACCGCACUGCAGUUGCACACUUUAGAUUCCUAGUGACCAAGUGGUUUUGAAAUUGCGGGUCUGAAUGAAUUGUGAGGUUGCCUUGAAAGGGUCAUAAGCUUACUGAUUGUUGCAGUUGUAACCACACUUGGAGGAUACAAUCAGGAUCUUUGGUUAGCGUAUGAACUGUAGUGAUCUGAUAAGAACAGUUCCAUUAUUUAAUAAAACUAUUAAUAAGGUAGUAUAU